Molecule: microRNA precursor, 197 nt
Filed under: Oryza rufipogon (brownbeard rice)
Lineage: Eukaryota; Viridiplantae; Streptophyta; Magnoliopsida; Poales; Poaceae
Description: MIR812 microRNA precursor family
Rfam family: MIR812 microRNA precursor family
Source: Rfam by way of RNAcentral
AAAAAGGCAAACCCUGGGUAUCCGUGUCCAACUUUGACUGUCCGUCUUAUAUGAAAUUUUUUUAUAAUUCGUAUUUUUAUUGUUGUUAGAUGAUAAAACAUGAUUAAUAUUUUAUGCGUGAUUUGUCUUUUUAUUUUUUUUUCAUAAUUUUUUAAAAUAAGACGGACGGUUAAACGUUGGGCACAGAAACCAGGGUU